This 10161-nucleotide long non-coding RNA is filed under the name Theobroma cacao (cacao). Its description in RNAcentral is "long non-coding RNA (TCAC_LNC003607)". Lineage: Eukaryota; Viridiplantae; Streptophyta; Magnoliopsida; Malvales; Malvaceae. The record is from RNAcentral.
CUGCGGACAGGAACGGGGAGAAGAUAAAAGCGGACGUCCAACAUUGGAGCAACACAGUGGACAAGGUAAUCAAUGAAGAGGAGAAGAAGGUGAAGGAUCUUCAAGAGAAAGCAAAGAACAAGUGCUUCAUUGGCUUGUGUCCCAAUAUUAAGUCUCGCUACCAGCUUAGCAGGAAAGCAGAAGAAGGUGUUGCGGUUGUUGACGACCUUAUUCGACAGUGUCAAUUUAACGAAGUGGGAUACCGUGGUGUUCCAGAAGGUUUUCAACGAUAUCGUGGAAGCAGUGAAAGAUGCUGCUAUCACUAGUCAACAAAGUUGCUAGACAAGUCCAAGAGGUCAAGUUAUUUGAUUCGGUGGUUAACGUAAUUGUGACUCAAGACUCCUGACAUUCAGAAAAUUCAAGAUCAAGUUGCACAAUUAUUAAGUCUCAGACUGGAAGAUAAGAGUACGGUUGUAAGAGCACAUAGAUUGUGCGAAAGGUUGAAAAAAGGGAAGAAGGUUCUUGUUGUUUUAGAUAAUACUUGGAAGGAAUUGGAUCUCGAGAAAGUUAGAAUUCCAUUUGGGAACCAACACAAGGGAUGCAAGAUAUUGUUGACGUCAAGAGAUCAAAAUGUACUCACCAAUGAGAUGGAUGCAGAGAAAACUUUUGCAAUUGGUGAUAAAGAAGAUUGGCUCUUAUUUAGGAAGACGGCCGGGGAAAUUGUUGAAAGCACUGAGUUGCGAUCUACAGCAAUUGAGGUAGCCAAAAGAUGUGCAAAAUUACCGUUGGCCAUUGCAACAGUUGCAAGGGCAUUGAGAAAUAAAAGCUUAUAUGCUUGGAAUGAUGCUUUACGGUAACUACAGAGGCCUUCCUCAAAAACUUCGCUGGGAUAUCCGCAGCCGUAUAUUCAGCUAUAGAGUUGAGUUACAAUCACUUAGAAAGUGAAGAUCUUAAACAGGUUUUCCUGCUUUGCAGUCUACUGCAUUGUGAUAGCAUCGAUUACUUGUUGAGAUAUGCCAUUGGUUUGGGUUUAACUAAUGGUGUCAACACCGUGGAGGAAGCGCGAAAUAGGUUGUUAACAAUGGUGAGUAACUCUUGUUUUUUACUUGAUAGUAACAUCAAUGACCAGUACUUUGAUAUGCAUGAUCUUGUUUUUGAUGUCGCCAUGUCAAUCGCUUUUACAUACAAUCAAGUCUUUGCAUUAAAUGAGGAGGAUGUUCUAAAAGAUUGGCCUGAUGGGGAGACAAUGAAAAAGUGGAACAAGAUUUGUUUGAAAUAUCAUAGGGUUGGAGAGGUUCCUGACAAGUUGAAUUGUCCACAGCUUGUUCUUUUCCUUAUUUGUAGAAAGGAUCUGUCCAUGAAAAUGCCACCUAACUUCUUUAGGGAAACAACAAAUCUUAAAGUCUUAGAUUUGACUCAGAUGCAUUUCUCUUCUUUACCUUCAUCAAUUUGUCUUCUAACAAGUCUUCGUACAUUGUGCCUAGAUCAAUGUGAAUUGGGAGAUAUAGUCAUUAUUGGAGAGCUCAAGAAUUUAGAAAUUCUUAGCCUUUGAAAUCUAAUAUCAAAACUCUAGCUAAGGGAAUUGGGCAACUAGUUAAGUUGAAGUUAUUGGAUUUAAAUGAUUGUACUAAACUCAAAAUAAUUCCACCAGGUGUCUUAUCAAGUUUGUCCAAAUUAGAAGAAUUAUAUAUGGGUGACACGUUUAUUCAAUGGGAAGCAGGGGAACAGGCCAACCAACAAAGCAAUGCUAGUCAUUGUCUCGUUUGACCACUUUAGAAGUUCAAAUUCCUAAUGCUGAGGCCAUGCUAGAAGGGUUGCUCUUUAAAGAGAUGCAAAAGUUGAAAAGAUACAAAGUUUUCGUAGGAAAGGAAUGGGAAUGGUUUGGUGAGUAUGAGUAUCCAAGGACUCAGAAACUCAAGUUAAGUACAAGCAUUGAUCAUUUGGAUCAUGGAAUUAAGUUGUUAUUGAAGAACACCGAAGCUCUGUAUUUCGAUGAACUUAAAGGUGUCAAGUUUGCAAUGCAAGAGUUAAAAGAUGAAGAAAGCUUGCUGCUGUUCAAGAAUCUAUAUAUCCAAAAUAUUCAAUGAUCAAAUAUAUCAUUAUUGAUAAUGGUGUCUUUGACACUUCAAAAUCUAUCACAGCUCAUUGGCUUUUGUUCUGAAGAAAAAAGCAGCUCUACCUCCACAGCUCAACAUGAUCAGUUGCCUCUUUUCAAUGAUAAGGUAUUUAUUAACUUCCAUCUUUUACUCAUUCUAAGGCAUAGGUUAAUCUUAUUUUUAAAUUCUUUAAGAUUCUUUCUUAUGAUCGACCAAUGUUCUCGGAUGUUAAAUUUGUAUUAUUUUAGAAUCUCCUUCCUUCACUUCUUUGCUAGAUGCCCCUGAAUAUCUAUUAUGAGUAAAAACAUACAUUGAACAUCCAUUAUAAAUAUAGAAGAAGAAAGCAAAGAUAAGAUUUUGUUUCCUCAAUUAAGCUUUCUAAAGUUAUAGGAUCUUUAGCAUCUUGUUGGAUUUUUCUUAAAAGAUCAGAAUAUUGAAUUUCCAUUCUUGAAGGCAUGAUGAUAGAGAACUGCCCAGAAAUAAAAGGGCUCAUAUACAAAUCUUUGACGGAAGGGAGCCAACGUUUCUCUAGUCAAGCUUUCUUCAACGAAAAAGUAGAUUAAUUAGCAUUCUUUAUUGAACAUGUUUUUCCCAUUGCCAUGCUUUUGGCCUUGAUUAUAGGAACAAAUGCUUCUAAAAUUUUCAUUAAUUGGCAUGAAUUAAUUACAUACAGGUUGCAUUUCUUAGUUUGGAGGGACUUUCUAUUUUCAAAUUGAGAAGCAUCAAGAUGAUAUGGCAGAACCAACCCGCUACGAAUUCCUUUGGCAAACAACCAGGAAUGAAAGUUCAAGAAUGUGAUGAGUUAUUGACCAUUUUUCCAUCUAAUAUGUUGAGAGCAUUUCAAGGACUGCAAAAAUCUAUUAGUGAACAAUUGUGUUUUGCUAGAAGAAGUAUUUGAAGUCAGAAGGUCAAAUAUGGAAGAAACAUGUGCUGCCUCCACUCAACUAGGAGAGUUGUAUAUUGUGGAUCUACCAAGCCUCAAGUAUAUUUGAAAAAAUGAUCCCAAAGGAAUUUUUACAUUUGAAAAUCUGCGGGUAAUAAGUAUUUGGCGUUGUUUCAAUCUGAAGAAUGUAUUUCCAGCCUCAGUAGCCAAAGUUCUUCCAUAACUUAGAGAUCUUCGGAUAGCUGGUUGCAGAGUGAAGGAAAUUGUUUCUAAAGAGGAAGGAUUGGAAACAGUUGUCACUUUUGUGUUUGAUCAAGUAUCCUACCUUUGCCUUUUGAACCUACCAGAACUCGUAUGUCUCUACUUGGGGGUGCAUGCCACAGAGUGGCCAAUGUUAAAAAGGUUAAAUGUAUUGGACUGUGGGAACAUGAAGAUACUCGGUAUAGAACGUCUUAGCAUCCCUGAUAAGACUAAGGUCGAUGGACAACUUGAGUCCACAUUAAUCCUUCCACCGCUUUCGUUGGCUAAAAGGUAUGCGUGCACCUCCACCUCAACUCUUCUCUCAAUUAAUUAAGAUGCUAACGUGUACAUGAAAAGCUAUUUGAUUGAUCCUUGUAAUGUACAAAAAAUCAUUUCCAUCAAAUGUGAUCUUCAAGAAAAUCAUUAAAUACUACCAAAUCAAUUUUUUAUUUUUAUAUUUAUUUUUAUAGGAAAUUGCAUAUGUCAAUGACUAACUAGUUGAAUUUAUAUAAAUUAAGUGGUAUGUAAUAUUUUGAAAAAUAAAUCACUUGCAUGUUUUGAUUUCACUCACAAUUUCAGAUGAGCAUUUAGUCACUUAACUUUUCGAAAACUUUUAUUUUUAGUCAUUCAAUAUUAAAAAAUAAUGAUUUGGUCACCAACAUUUGUGAAAGUUAUUUUUUUUAACACUUAAUAAUUAGAAAAAAAAAGUCAAUCAUUAGCUUUUUUAGAGAAAAAAAAGGUCAACCAUUGGCUUCUAACAACUGAGUGAUAAACAUGAACUUUCACAAAGUUUGAUAGCCAAAUUGUGAUUAUUUAAAAUUAAAUGACCAAAAUAAAAACUUAUGAAAAAUUAAUUGAGUAAAUGUGUAAUUAAAAUUGGAGUUUGUUUGAGUCCAACCCCUACCUUUAAUCGUGAAAACAAGUACCAAGACUUGCCUACUCGCAUAUUGUGUUUGUGUGUGCACUUAUUUUCUUUUUGGCUCCAAAACUAUUUUUUCAGGACAUCCCUAAAUUAGAAAAAUUGUCGCUAAAUAUUGAUGACAUUGCAAUGAUAAGUGAGUCAAUUUUCAAGCAGCCUUUUUCGUUAAAUAAAAGUUUUUAAGGUUUACAGCAACCCUGGUAAAUCUGUUGUUUCCCCAAGUGCUUUCCUUGAAAGAUUUGACAAUCUAGAAAGCUUGUGGUGAUUUCUUAUGAAUUCAAAGAGCUGUUCUGCAAUGAAAGAGAUAAUGGUAUGGAGACAUAUGCGGGGACACUGCCGAUGAUCAGAAGCUUAAAAUUGAUUCAUCUUCAUAAUCCCAAACAAUUAUGGAGGCAGGACGUACAAGUAGACCACAUUCCCCCGAAUCUGGAAACUCUUAAAGUCUGGGAUUGUGCCAAACUGAUUAGUUUAGGAUCAUCCACAGCAUCGUUCCAAAAUCUCUUGAUGUUGGAUGUGUGGAGCUGCAAAGCAAUGAUAUGCUUAGAUACAUCUUUAGCAGUCCAAAGUCUAGCCCAGCUCUAAAAAUUGAGGUUAAGACAGUGCAUUCCAAUGAAGGAAAUAGUUGGAAAUGAGGGUGAUGAAGCAACAUACGACAUUGUUUUCAGCAACUUGAAAAGUUUGGAACUUUGUGGUUGACCACAAAUUAGAAGUUUUUGUUCAGGCAACCACACAUUUGGGUUCCCGUCUUUAGAAAAAGUAAUUGUGAGCAAAUGUCCUGAAAUGAAGAUUUUCUGUAAGGGAGUUUUAAAUGCGCCAAUGCUGCAAAGAGUACAAGAAACAGAUGAAGAUGGUAAGGGACAUUGGGGUGGUGACCUUAACAGUACUAUCCAACAACUCUACGUCGAAAAGGUACCUAUGUAAGAAAUUAUUUAUCUAACGAAUUAAUUGUCUUUGUAAGGCUCUUUUUUGUUGCUGGAUGCUUUUGUUUGCUUAAUUUAACUUUAGGUUUUCUAUUUUUAUUUCCUUUUUGUUUGUGCGUACUUUUGAACUUAAUCUUCCUUUCUUUGAUGGAUUUUGUAGGUUGGAUACUAAGGAGUUGUGUAUGAAGUACUUUCCAAAUUUUCUAAGUCAAUAGAAAUAUGGAAGGACAAUCUUGAAGGAGUUUUAGAUUUUGUAAAUCUUAAAUAUUUGAAAAUUUACAAAUGUAAGAGCUUCAAGUCCAUUUUUACUGUUUCCAUGGUUUUGGAGCUUCAGCAAUUGAACGAGAUAAAAGUAAAAAAUUGCCAUAUGAUGGAGCAUAUUAUCACAAAUGAACAAGCAGAGGAAGCCGCAAUGAAUUUAAUGGUGUUACCCAGGCUUAAGGUUAUAAUUCUUGAGUCAUGUUCCAAUUUGAGGAGCUUUUGUUUGAGAAGUAUUACAAUGGAUGUCAGUCCAAUUGUUAAUAUUAUUAAAAAAAAUUAUUAUUUAUAUUGAUAUGAUUUUUUUACUGAUAUAGCAUUAAAUAUGAUGACUUGUUAAUAAUGAUGUGACAUUUUUUUUAUAUUUCACAUCAUUCUUUUCAAUGUUUUAAAUUAUGAAACACAGAAAUUUAAUUUUUUUUAUUCAAACAAUACUAUUUUCCUAAAUCCUAGAAACCUAUUAGUAUUUUUUAUUUGUUUCUUAUGCAAUUGUGUUUAAUAUCAUUAACUCACAUUGGAUAAUUCAAUAUCCACACUUAUAAAAUCCAUUUUAGUACUUGAUCAUGUCAUAUUGACAUUACUAUUACAUUAUUUUUAAAAUACUACAUCAGUAGUGUUAUGUCAUUAUAUUCAAUGUCACGUCUAAUAGCAAAGCUAAUAUUUUAUGUUUGGAGAGACGAAAAUAAAAAGUUCGAUGUUUAUAGAGAUAAAAUUAUAAAUUUUUUUUUAAAAUAGGGAUAAAAUUAUAAAUUUUAAAAAGUAAUAAGUAAAAAUUUUAAAAUUUUAACUGUGAGGCCCUACUAGCCCCUUCCUCUACUUCUAAUCAAAUCAAUAAAAAAAUACCAUGUCAACAUAAGCAAACGUCAUAUUAAUAUAAAUAAUAAAAAAUUUUAUCACAUUGAAUUGAUAUUGUAUUUUUAAAAAGUACAUAGAUUCAAUUUUUGAAAGUAUUAUAUAAAAAUUAAAUUAACCAUUAUAAUAUAAUAUAAAGACUAAUGUCAUAAUUUAAUAAAAAAUUUAUAUUCAGCCACCCCCAUUACACUUGCUCGAGUUUUUAAAUCUCGUGAUGCGACCGCUUUGUCGGGUAACCAGAAAAUAUCCUAUACAUCCCCACUUUCCAUUUAAUGGAUAAAGAAUAUACACUUGCCUCACAUGGGAAAUUGUGUUCCCUAAGGAUUUCUUUUUAUUGUGAAUUACACGACUUAUUAAAUUAAACAACAAUAAUAAAAAUUAUCUAAUUCUUGAAAUUAACAUAAAAGUCUCCAUCUAAGCUUGAUUCAACCUGAAAGAAAUAGUAAGCUCGGACUUAGUUAAAUUUAUAAAACUCAUAUAUAUUCACUAUUGACAUUAUAUUUUCCCUUUUGAGUUCUAAUUAACAUAUUUAAACUUUUCUGAUCUCUUUUAACUUUUUUUUUUAAAUGAGUUUUAUUUUUUCGUUACUUGUAAUAUUAUGACAAGUCUUUUAACUCAAUUGACAGAAUACUUUUGUGAGAUAGAGUACUUGGUGCCGGAAUUUAAUUGUACAUUUACAAAAGUUACACUGUGCAUCAAGCAGAGACAGCAAGCAGAAUCAGUAAAGAGUCCCAACAACGUCAACCAAAAAACAAAAGGAUCCUACAAGGAAAAGCAGCGAUAAAGCCUAUAAGAAUCAGAUCCCUCGACAAUACCCUGGAUGGGGCAAAACCUGAGAGGAGCUCCUAAAAAGUCUCAGGAGCACGGGGCUGAGACAAAGUCUCCCAUCCAAUGAGAAAUGAGCAGAAGACUGAGCAGACACGUGAAAUGCUUUCCAAUUUCCAUGUGCACUCCUUUGUAAUUAUUGGUGAGAGUGGGACAGACACCUCCACGUUUCCCCAACUUGAAUUCCAAUUGCAUCUCCUACCUAACACUUUCUUGUCUCUCUUCAUUUCUUUUCCUUUAUUCUAGUUUUUUUUUUUUUUGGGUAUUAGUUGUGAUGGCUUUGUAGGAUCUAUAUAUUUGUAUGCCACUAUAUAUUUGUCUUAUAUAAAAAAAGAAACUAUAUAUAUUUGUCUUGUCUGCCACUAUUCUUUUCUUUCUUCCGUUAAUCCAUUUUUUAAUUUAUAUUGGUAUGGCAUAGUGUUUUAAUAAUGAAAACUUAUGACAAGUCUUUCUUUAUAAUUGCCGAUUGUCAUGACUCGUGGGCUCAUGGGUAUUUACUGAAAUUUUAAGUCUUUCUUUAUAAUUGAUGAUCGGAAAAAUUUGAAACUUAAUGUGAAAUUAUGGUUAAGAAAAUGUGAGUGAAGUACAGCUCAAUUCAUCCAUUGAUUAUUGUUUGACAAGUUGCAUUAUUGUAUUAACCAUUAAUUUUGUUAGAGUGGUUAAUGACAUCUACUUUAACAAUAAGGGAGAAACCUUAAGUAUCCAUAUGAAUUUAGUCUAAUGUUACAUUGAAACUUUGGAUAUCAAUAUGAAUUUAAUCUAAUUUUAUAUUGAAACUUUAGUAAAGCUAUCUCAUUUGUAUACGUUUAAAAGAAAUAAAAAGGUGCAAGUGGCAUGAGCAAGUGACUAGCAAUAGUAUAUGUUUUAGAUGAAAAAGUUCAUUAAAGAAAAGAGAAGGCUUGCUCUGUUUAAAUCCCCACCCCCUCCCUCCUUUGGCAGAAAAAGCAAAGGUGACCAAUAUAAGAGAGGAGGUUAGACAAAUAUUAACAUUAUUCUUUCAUGGCAUUGAUUUUCACACUGACUUGGUAGAAUGAAAUUUCAGAGAAAUUACGCUGACCAUAUUUUAUUGAUACAACACGAGCUGCAAAUCUUGUACAAAGAAUAAAGAAAGCAUCAACAAUCACAUCAGUUUGGCAUGUUCAAGAGGGAGAGUGAAUUAAGCAUUAGACUUGGAAAGUUCAUUAAAUAACAUACCUUUUGAUCAACUUUCCAUAGUUGGAAAAGCAUAAUUGGAGCGAAUUUAGAAAAGUAAAAGAAUCACAUAUAUAUAUAUAUAUAUAUAUAUAUAUAUAUAGAGCUAUUCAUAAUGAUAAAUAAUUUUAUAUAAUUUGUUAAUCAAUAAAAAAAAUACUUAUAAUAAUCUUUUAAGAAAGUUGUGCUCAGUCAUAUAUAUUUUUUUAUAUUCAAAUUCAUCAAUUUUUGAUUAUGUGUUGAAAAAUAUCGAUUUCUUUAGAAUUGAAUCUUAGACGUUUUAAUUUACAUUACUCUUAUUUUUAAGUUGAAGUGUUGAGACUUAUUGGCUCAAAUGUAACAGAAUCACUUGGACGAUUUGCAUAUUUUUUUUUAAAUAAUUUAUUAAUUAUUUUCAACUUACUCAUACUUAGCCAAACUUCAAAAAAAAAUUAAUACAAUCAAUAUCUAAUAUUCUUAUGGUAUUUCUAUUUAAACUUAUAAUCCUAAAUAUAAAACUAUAAUGCAUAAAAUAUAAAAAUUAAAUAUGAUAUAUCAGAUUAAUAAUUUCCUUUUACAUAAUCAGGAUCGUUUAAAGACUAUAUAUUCAAGAUAAUUUCAUUUCAACUAAAUAUAAAACAUAAAACACAUAAAAAAAUACUCAAGAUAAACUCCUUUUAUAUAAUUAGGANAUAUAUUAAAAUUUAAAAAAUUUUAUAUGAUAUAGAAAAAAUUUUAAAAAUUUGGGGGCUGCUGUGUAAAGGAGAAUAUAUAUACUUCCACAUAGGACCAACUGGCAAAGCAUGAUUAAUUUGUACUAGUAAAUGUCUGGAGAUUGAUGAUUAGCCUUGAUCUGCCAUAAUUCAUUGAAUCACUUUGGAAUGGGGCGGCUCUGAUUUUGCCACCUUUUUCGGUCCAAUGGAAUCAUAAAGUUAGUAAUUAAAGGAGUGAAUGGAAGAGCAAGCCAAAAUAAGGAUGAGUCUUUUGGUCAAAAACCGACAACAGCUUAUUACUAUAUAAUUUUCUUCUUUCCUCUCUUCUAUAAACCAUGAUGGGCAAUGAAAACAGAUUUUAUUUGUUUAAUAAAAUCUCAUGACUUAAGGUGAGCCUUUGUUUGUACUUGAACGGCCGUGAAAAGCUGCGUGCCAGUUUCAUAAAACCCAGUCAGACACAACGUUUCUGCUCAACUCAUCCCUUUUACCUUACUUUAGCGUCCUUUGCUCUUCCAUUUCUCAAAACCCUUUUAUUUUCUUCCUUUGAUCUUCGAUUCUCUUUUCCUUUUCCUUUGUUUUUUUGGCUUGCUCCGUUGUUUCUUUCUCAUCUCUUUUCCCUUCACCUCAAGGUGUCGGCUUCUCACAUUCCUCUACUUUCCACCCAAUAAACCAGAAACCUUUCACUUUGAUUCUUAGUUGCCUCUUUCUUCAUAGCUACAGCUAAUGGAGAAAACCACCGUUUCCAAUUUCUUACCAUUCUGAUUAUUUGCCUUGCUCAUAUCGUUUAUUGAUAUAUUCGUCUUGCUGUUUUCAUUUUUGGGUCUUCUCGAUCCCCUGUUGUCUACUUCUUCUGUCAUUUGCUUUGCUUUUCUGUUGAAUUAAAAAAAUGGAACCUAUUCUUACUGGUGCUGCUGCCAACCUUUCUUCGGAAGCUGCAAAAGGCAUCUUCCAAGAUAUGAAACGUCAUAUCAGAUAUGUAAUCAUUUACAAGAAAAAUGUCGACAAGUUUGAGGAGAAACUUAAGAUGUUGAUAGCAAAAAGAGCAAGUCUGCAGCAAGAGGUUGAUGCUGCAGACAGGAACGGGGAGAAGAUAAAAGCGGACGUCCAACAUUGGAGCAACACAGUGGACAAGGUAAUCAAUGAAGAUGUGAAGAAAAUGAAGGAUCUUGAAGACAAAGCAAAGAACAAGUGCUUCAUUGGCUUGUGUCCCAAUAUCAAGUCUCGCAACCAGCUUAGCAGGAAAGCAGAAGAAGGUGUCGCGACUAUUGACGACCUUAUCCAACAGUGUCAAUUUAACGGAGUGGGA